UUGGAGGGCAAGUCUGGUGCCAGCAGCCGCGGUAAUUCCAGCUCCAAUAGCGUAUAUUAAAGUUGUUGCAGUUAAAAAGCUCGUAGUUGAAUUUCGGGAUCAAUAUAUUGGUCAUGCUUAGGUAUGUACUGGUAUUAUUGACUUCUCCCUUCUGAAGAACCAUGAUGUCAUUAAUUUGAUGUCGUGGGGAAUCAGGACUGUUACUUUGAAAAAAUUAGAGUGUUUAAAGCAGGCUUUCGCUUGAAUACAUUAGCAUGGAAUAAUGAAAUAGGACGUUUGAUUCUAUUUUGUUGGUUUCUAGGAUCGACGUAAUGAUUAAUAGGGAUAGUUGGGGGCAUUAGUAUUCAAUUGUCAGAGGUGAAAUUCUUGGAUUUAUUGAAGACUAACUACUGCGAAAGCAUUUGCCAAGGAUGUUUUCAUUAAUCAAGAACGAAAGUUAGGGGAUCGAAGACGAUCAGAUACCGUCGUAGUCUUAACCAUAAACUAUGCCGACUAGGGAUCGGAUGAUGUUAAUUUUUUAAUGACUCAUUCGGCGCCUUACGGGAAAC
RNAcentral lists this ribosomal RNA (548 nucleotides) under uncultured Glomus. RNAcentral describes it as "SSU rRNA". It matches the Rfam family "Eukaryotic small subunit ribosomal RNA", at positions 548 to 1098 of the family's 1831-position model. The record is from RNAcentral. Lineage: Eukaryota; Fungi; Glomeromycota; Glomeromycetes; Glomerales; Glomeraceae.